Molecule: long non-coding RNA, 1196 nt
Filed under: Daphnia pulex (common water flea)
Lineage: Eukaryota; Metazoa; Arthropoda; Branchiopoda; Diplostraca; Daphniidae
Description: uncharacterized LOC124193089, transcript variant X2
Source: RNAcentral
CUCCAAGUAGGAAUACAGCCUUUUAAGGUCUGAGCCUCUCAGUCCCACAUGCACACGAAGUUGUUGCUGUUGCAGACAGCUGGCAGGUGGUUUUCUUUACUUGCAGGUUUGUUUGCUACCUGUACAGCUUGUAGCUUUCGUCACAUGCAGCAACACUUCAGAAGAGUUUAAAAUAAUAAAGUUGAUCUGCUUUUUACGGAAUACAGCCUCUUCAGGUCUGAGCCUCUCAGCCCAAUGUGCUCAUGGGUUUGUUGCAGCCAGCUGGCGAAAGGUGUUCUUCUUGCUGGCUUGAUUGAUACCUGUACAGUUUGCAGCUCUCUUCACAUGCAAAAAUACUUCAGAGCAAAUAAAAUUAAUCAAGUUGAUCAGCUUUUCUACGGAUUACAAGUUUACAACCUCUUCUGAGGCUCUGAGCCUCUUGAUGGCAGUCCAAUGUGCAGAAAGACUUGGGUGCAUCUAGCUGGUGAACGGUGGGUUGAGUUGUUCAUGCAGAUUCGGGUGUUGAUAUUGUGUGUAAAAUUAUGUUUACCGGUGGCGAAGUGUCCGUGAGUGAAAUGAUUGAGGUAUUCUGACGCCAUUCGACCAAGCUGAAUCGAAAGUGAACAACUCUAAAGCAAAUCAUGCCUUUCUCCAAGUGGUCGCUGCCAUGUCAUGAAGAUACGUCUUUGAGAGGGUCUCUACACUAUUGAUUUCAUGGUCAUUUUCCAGUUGACAGAUGGACUUGAAUGGAGUUUGUGCAGACUUGCAGUUCAACAUCAUACCAUUCAUACCUCUUUCUUAUUUUUCUAUGCUUGUUGUGUUCAUGCGGUGUUGAAAAGUUGCUGAAAAUAGUCCAUGUUGCCUGAUGGUUGUCGGGCAUAUUUAAUCGACUGCAUUUUGUCGAUUCCUUCUUUUGCUACCUGUGCGUUGAGUGAGUCGCCGUUCCAUAGCUGAAACUGAAGAGACUGCUGAAAUUUAAGACUGAUAAAUUAUGUAGAUGAUCACAAUAGUAUAGCUGUGCUCCUUCCUUCCCCGUGUUAUUAAGUAAACAGUAACCAACCAACACCCCUAGCUGACCAUCACCCCCCGGUCAUAAUGCGAUAAGCUCCAUGAUAUGUGGAAAAUUUGGAAAAUUAUGAGGGAAACUUUUUUAUGAACACUUUACUUGCUUAAUUAACAUUCGUUUCAAAAUUCUAUUUUUACAAUUCAACAAGUAU